UGGUUCUGGCAUNGAUGAAGAACGCAGCGAAAUGCGAUAAGUAAUGUGAAUUGCAGAAUUCAGUGAAUCAUCGAAUCUUUGAACGCACAUUGCGCCCGGUAGUAUUCUACCGGGCAUGCCUGUUCGAGCGUCAUUUCAAACCCUCAAGCCCUGUUGCUUGGCGUUGGGACUCUGCGGUUAUAGCAGUUCCCCAAAUUCAGUGGCGGAGUCGGUUAGCACUCUGAGCGUAGUAAUCAUAUCCUCGCUUGCGAUUGUGACCGGCACCUAGCCGUUAAACACCCCAAUUCUUUAGGUUUGACCUCGGAUCAGGUAGGAAUACCCGCUGA
This 326-nucleotide unclassified non-coding RNA is filed under the name uncultured fungus. RNAcentral's name for it is "partial contains 5.8S ribosomal RNA and internal transcribed spacer 2". The stretch from base 1 to 133 matches the Rfam family "5.8S ribosomal RNA", at positions 22 to 154 of the family's 154-position model. Lineage: Eukaryota; Fungi. The record is from RNAcentral.